Molecule: RNA transcript, 2088 nt
Organism: Camellia sinensis
Lineage: Eukaryota; Viridiplantae; Streptophyta; Magnoliopsida; Ericales; Theaceae
Gene name: OVARIAN TUMOR DOMAIN-containing deubiquitinating enzyme 12
Source: RefSeq, a predicted model, not a curated record
UCUCAGCCGAAAGAGGGAGACAGUGAGGCGUUCAAGAAAAUGCCGCUUAAACCAACGGUAGCUUUUUCAAGCCACCCGAAACAGCCCAAAAAGCCAUCGAAUUCUUAGGCUUCCGUCACGCUUUCAUCAAACUUGUUCGAUGUUUAAUGCUGGCCUAACUCUAUAUAAACUCUUCAAAAGCCACCAUUUUCAAUUUCUUCGUUCCAUCAUUAUCUUCUUCCGUGACAUCCCCAAACACUCUCUCUCUCUCUCUCUCUAGAUUACUGGUCUGAAUGUGACUUCCAUUCAAUCGAAGGAAAUAUGCACUCAAGCUUUGAAGAACCUAUAUGUUUGGUCUUAUAGUAGAAUCAACUAUCUUACAAAUUUGGGAUCUAUCAGCGAAUAUUUGGUCCACGGGGUGUAACUGGAAGCAUUUUUCCUGAUUUGUAACCAAAAGUGCAGUGAUAUUGAUUACAAUUGACUUAAGUUACGUAAAUAUUUCAUAUUUGAGAUUUAUAUUGACUGGAACUAACCAGGAAAACAACAGCUCCAUUGUUCUUGGAAAGCAGACAACUUACUAGUUGGAAAGAUUGCUGGAGAAGUAAAUAUGUAUGAGCCAGAUUCCGAUGCUGUUCGCUGGGGUUUUAAUUUUCUUGAUGUUGACCAUAUAUUUAGUUCUACUUAUUAUGGUGAUAACAACCAAGGUGAUGUGAACAUCUGGCGUGAACAGUACAUCGGAGAUGAUAAUUACAAUACAGACUGUAACAGUGUAGAGAACGAUGAGACUAUUGCACAUGCUCUUCAAGAAGAAUAUUCCCAACUAACAAUUGCAGAAGCAUCUGAAUCUUCACAUCCAAAGGAGGAGCACUUGAAAGUAUCAUCUACUACUGCUCCUGAUUGGCUUAAUCCAUCAUCGAGGAACUAUUAUUCUGGCUAUAAGGGUGGCCAGGUAGAACCAGAAUCAGAUGAUAUGGGGCCCUCAAGUUCAUGUUCUAGUCCUGGAAAUAGAUCAUAUGAUGGGGAGGAGUAUUCCUAUAAUCUGGAGAUAGCAGACGAGUCUGCACUGGAUGGAGAAGUAGGCAAGAGGUUGAACCAAAUGAUUCCUGUUCCUCAUAUUCCUAGAAUUAAUGGUGAUAUACCUUCAAUUGAUGAAGCAACUUCUGAUCAUCAAAGGCUGCUAGAUAGAUUGCAAUUGUAUGACUUAGUUGAGCACAAGGUUCAAGGUGAUGGUAAUUGUCAGUUUCGUGCUUUAUCAGAUCAAUUCUAUCGCACCCCAGAGCACCACAAAUUUGUAAGACAGCAAGUUGUUAAUCAGCUUAAGUCUCAUCGUGACACAUACGAGGGAUAUGUUCCCAUGGAAUAUGGUGACUAUUUAAAGAAAAUAUCCAAGAGUGGUGAGUGGGGAGAUCACGUGACAUUGCAAGCAGCUGCAGAUUCAUAUAGUGUAAAAAUUUUUGUGGUCACCUCAUUCAAGGAUACCUUUUCCAUCGAGAUUCUCCCGAAAUCUCAAAACUCCAAACGAGUCAUUUUCUUGAGCUUUUGGGCAGAGGUGCACUACAAUUCUAUCUAUCCUCAAGGAGGUGACUACCCUUAACUUUUCUUAAAAAGAGAAUGAGAUAUAGCUUUCUGCUGGAAAAGAACCUCUUGGGACUAUUCCAACUUAACUCAAGUGCUGAACCUAAUUGUUAGAAUUACUGCCUUGUGAUUCUAAGAGGAAGAAAAAGUGGUGGCAUUUUGGAAAUUAGCAUUAGAAGCUUCUGGCUUUGUGGUAAAGCACACAGUUCCCUUCUCCAUUCAUCCUUGGCUUGUGCUUGUCUCCUGGUGCUAGACUAUGCAUUCUUAUAUUUAUACCUUUCAGUUCACUAACUUCUACUGUAGAUACAUAUAUAGCAUAGAUGCAUUAUGUCUUUUGUUUUAAUUUUUUUUAUUUUUCUUUAUUUCUCAUUGUUGUGCAAGUAUGCUGCUAUUUUUGCAUGCAGGUAUUUUUUCUCUUAAUCGCAUGCUUAUGACAUUGGGAGUUUUAUUUGGAAAGGUUGAAUGUCACUAUAUGUAUGAUUUUUCAAACAUAUUUGAAAAUAAUGGGGAAAAGAGGUUACAUUUUUCAUUGAA